RNAcentral lists this long non-coding RNA (805 nucleotides) under Pan troglodytes (chimpanzee). Its description in RNAcentral is "long non-coding RNA NONPTRT012955". Lineage: Eukaryota; Metazoa; Chordata; Mammalia; Primates; Hominidae. The record is from RNAcentral.
GGAGUGCUGUCACCGACGUCCUAAAGCCGCCGAGGGUGUUUCUGUAGGGUAAACAUGAAGCCUCGGCUAUAUUCCAGGCAUUUUCACUUGGAAACAUUUUACAUAAAGUAUUUGAAGGUCUAGAUAAAGAAUAACAGAGUGAUCCAUACCACAUGAUGAGGUAUUGUGCAGGAAAAAAAACUACUUCUGCAACUAAGGAAUGUAAAGUCUUAACAACGGAUGAUUUUUUUUCCAAGUACAGUUGUAUUUGAUUGGAAUCAUUUGCAGAUCCAACAACAAAUCUUGAAAUAGGGGGAAAAUACAGGAGCUGUCCAAACACCAUGCAGAUGCUCCUAGGAUUCUUAAACUAGCCAAAAAUAAUUCCAGGCAUUGUCAGAUAUAGGAUAAGUACAUGAAGACAGCAUUAGUCGCAGUAGCGAAGACACGGAAACAACCUAAGUGUUCACCAACAGAUGAAUGGAUGAAGCAAAUGUAGCAUAUAUACACAGUGGAAUACUAUUCAGCCUUAAAAAAGAAGGAAAUCUGGCUAACUGCAACAACAUGGAUGAACCUGGAGGAUAUUAUAUAAGUGAAAUAAGCCAGGCAUGGAAAGGUAAAAACUGAAUGUUCUCACUUAUAUGUGGAAUCUAACACAAUCAAAUUCAUGGAAGCUGGGAAUAGAAUGGUGGUUAUCGAGGCCAGGGGCUGGGAGAACAGAGAAUGUUGGUCAAAGGGUAGAAAGUUGCAGUUAGAUUUAAAAUGAUAAGUAUUUAAGCUGAUUGAUAUGUUAACUAGCUUGAUUCAAUCAUUCAACUCUGUAUACAUA